This 263-nucleotide ribosomal RNA is filed under the name uncultured bacterium. Its description in RNAcentral is "partial 16S ribosomal RNA". It matches the Rfam family "Bacterial small subunit ribosomal RNA", at positions 514 to 776 of the family's 1533-position model. The record is from RNAcentral.
GCCGCGGUAAUACGAAGGGGGCUAGCGUUGCUCGGAAUUACUGGGCGUAAAGGGCGCGUAGGCGGAUCGUUAAGUCAGGGGUGAAAUCCCGGGGCUCAACCUCGGAAUUGCCCUUGAUACUGGCGAUCUUGAGUAUGAGAGAGGUAUGUGGAACUCCGAGUGUAGAGGUGAAAGUCGUAGAUAUUCGGAAGAACACCAGUGGCGAAGGCGACAUACUGGCUCAUUACUGACGCUGAGGCGCGAAAGCGUGGGGAGCAAACAGG